RNAcentral lists this ribosomal RNA (586 nucleotides) under uncultured bacterium. RNAcentral describes it as "bacterial SSU rRNA". It matches the Rfam family "Bacterial small subunit ribosomal RNA", at positions 338 to 917 of the family's 1533-position model. The record is from RNAcentral.
CCUACGGGAGGCAGCAGUGGGGAAUUUUGGACAAUGGGCGCAAGCCUGAUCCAGCCAUUCCGCGUGCAGGAUGAAGGCCUUCGGGUUGUAAACUGCUUUUGUACGGAACGAAACGGUUCUCUCUAAUACAAGGGGCUAAUGACGGUACCGUAAGAAUAAGCACCGGCUAACUACGUGCCAGCAGCCGCGGUAAUACGUAGGGUGCAAGCGUUAAUCGGAAUUACUGGGCGUAAAGCGUGCGCAGGCGGUUUUGUAAGACAGAGGUGAAAUCCCCGGGCUCAACCUGGGAACUGCCUUUGUGACUGCAAGGCUGGAGUACGGCAGAGGGGGAUGGAAUUCCGCGUGUAGCAGUGAAAUGCGUAGAUAUGCGGAGGAACACCGAUGGCGAAGGCAAUCCCCUGGGCCUGUACUGACGCUCAUGCACGAAAGCGUGGGGAGCAAACAGGAUUAGAUACCCUGGUAGUCCACGCCCUAAACGAUGUCAACUGGUUGUUGGGUCUUCACUGACUCAGUAACGAAGCUAACGCGUGAAGUUGACCGCCUGGGGAGUACGGCCGCAAGGUUGAAACUCAAAUGAAUUGACGGA